UUUUAUUAAUAGCAUUUUAUACAAACCGAUGGCGAAUAUUUUAUUAAAUAAAAUGUAUUAAUUAUUUUUGUGAAACAAUAAAUAAUACGUAUUUCAUUAUAUCAAUCUGUAUUAUGCGUAUAACGAUUUUGUCGAAAUAUUAAUGGAAUAUCACGAACUGGGAACAUUUUGAAAGAGACAAAUAUUGUCGAAAUGCAACUGCGUAGGAGAACAAGACCGGGAUUAAGACUUUCGUUAGUGUUAUGGAUAAUUUAUUUCGGGACAGAUUCGCGAGAUACAUCACUUGUAAUAAUUAUUUGUAAAUCCUUCAAACAAUAUUCGAAAACCAUAAACUGAUUAAAACCUAAUCUAGGUGAAAACCUACGUGUAACCGUGUAGUGUGUGUAUAGUAUGCACUCUCAAUGGUGUUAAUAUUCAUUCCGGUUAACAGUUUUUUUUUUAAAUGUUUUUUCGACGAUGACGUUCAAAACGAUCUUUAUAACGACAUCCGUCGUAUUAUUCUACACAAAACACACGAGAACCGCUAACUAGCAAAUGGUGACUCCCUUCGGUACAAGGUGGACCAAUACCUAAUUACUAUACGAAUUAUGGUUUACAAAAGUGAAAAAAUAAUUAUGUUUCAUUAGCGUCCGAUGUUGUCUAACGCGUGUCCAUUAUAUUAAACGCCCUGCAUAUUAUAUGACGGAAAUACAUAUCAAUAGGGUAUAGAAAAUGGAAGUUCGCAAAAUUACUUAGAUAUAUACUAUAGACAAGCCUACA
Non-coding RNA from Cinara cedri, 759 nucleotides. The record is from the annotation of a GenBank genome assembly. Lineage: Eukaryota; Metazoa; Arthropoda; Insecta; Hemiptera; Aphididae.